Molecule: RNA transcript, 2037 nt
Organism: Acinonyx jubatus (cheetah)
Lineage: Eukaryota; Metazoa; Chordata; Mammalia; Carnivora; Felidae
Gene: SIGIRR
Gene name: single Ig and TIR domain containing
Exons: 10
Source: RefSeq, a predicted model, not a curated record
ACCCUGACUGGGGGGGUCUCCUUAGGACCCCCUCACAUCACCCGGGGCCCCAGCCUCUCCGCAACCUCCUCUCCAUCGCCCAGGCUUGGCCUCGGGAAGUACACUGCCUCGGUGGGCUGGGGUGGGCCCCGGAGGAAGGAGCAGCUUGACUCGGAGUUAACAGGAAGAAGUUGAGCAGGCGGGGCAGGGGCGAGAACCACCAACUGCGCGCCUGCCUGGGUGGGGUUUGGGGUCAGGAGAGGAUGUGACUGUAAAGCCAGGAAGCUGCAGGGAAAGUUCUGAUUAAAACACACACACAAACAAAAGGCAGGUCCUCACUGUGCUUGGCGAUGAGCUCUGGGGCUGCGGUGCUGCGGGCCGGACCUGGGGCCCAGCUGAGCACACAGUUUGCUCCCAAGCAAGCAUCAAUGACCUCGACGACCGCCAUCCCCCCCCAGGAGGAGAGAGCCGGAACCAGCAGCCUCUGACCCCUCCUGGUGUCCUGACUGACCGGCCACAGAGACAGAGAGCCCCGGGGGACCAGUCUGCUCAGCCAAGGAGCCCUGAGGAGCCGGGGGGGUGGCACCAGUGCCCAGCCUGCCCCGAGAAGGCCCCGGCCAGACCAUGGCAGGUGUCUGUGACACGGCCCCCAACUUUCUCUCCCCGUCUGGAAACCAGGCCCUGGAGCCUGCCCUGGGCAGUGCAGUCUCCCUGAACUGCACGGCCUGGGUGGUCUCUGGGCCCCACUGUCCCCUGCCCUCAGUCCAGUGGCUGAAAGAUGGGCUGCCGCUGGGCAAUGGAAGCCACUGUGGCCUCCAUGAAGACUCCCGGAUCAAGGCCAACUCAUCAGAGGUGCUUGUGUCCAGUGUUCUGGGGGUCAACCUGACCAGUGCUGAGGACUAUGGGGUCUUCACCUGCUCCAUCCGGAAUGUCAGCUCCUCCUCCUUCACUCUUUGGAGAGCUGGCCCAGCUGGCCACCUGGCCGCAGUGCUGGCCUCACUCCUGGUCCUGCUGGCCCUGCUCCUGGCGGCCCUGCUCUAUGUGAAGUGUCGACUGAAUGUGCUGCUCUGGUACCAAGACGCCUAUGGGGAGCUGGAGAUGAACGACGGGAAACUCUACGACGCCUACGUCUCCUACAGCGACAGCCCCGAGGACCGGAAGUUCGUGAACUUCAUCCUGAAGCCACAGCUAGAGCGGCGUCGGGGCUACAAGCUCUUCCUGGAUGACCGCGACCUCCUGCCACGCGCGGAGCCCUCCGCCGAUCUCCUGGUGAACCUGAGCCGCUGUCGACGCCUCAUCGUGGUGCUGUCGGAAGCAUUCCUGGGCCGGGCCUGGUGCAGCCACAGCUUCCGGGAGGGCUUGUGCCGGCUACUGGAGCUCACGCGCAGGCCCAUAUUCAUCACCUUCGAGGGCCAGAGGCGCGACCCCGUGCACCCCGCGCUCCGCCUGCUGCGCCAGCACCGCCACCUGGUGACCCUGCUGCUCUGGAAGCCCGGCUCCGUGGCGCCUUCUUCAGAGUUUUGGAAGGAGCUGCAGCUGGCACUGCCACGGAAGGUGCGGCACAGAGCCCUGGAGGGAGACCCCCAGACCCGGCUGCAGGGUGACAAGGACCCCAUGCUGAUCGUGCAAGGCCACCUGCCCGAGGGUCGCACCCUGCACCUGGAGCUGGACCCCGACCCUGAGGGGGACCUGGGUAUGCCCCCCUGGUCCCACCCCGACCCUGAGAAGCUUGGCCUGGGGCGGAGGGGGUGCACGGGGCUGAGGAGCCCAGAAAGGGGUCCAGGUGGCGGGGACUUCCUCCCUGCAGCCCAUCGGUGGGCUUGACCCCCAGCACACCCUCACUGCCUCCUUCCCGGAGGCACGCGGACCCAAGGCCUGCCUGGGAAUCUCCAGGACCUCAGAUGCCACUAUGCAGGAGGGUGUCCGAGGGCCUAUCUUUGGGGAGCCAUCAGCUCCACCCCAUGCAAGCGGGGUCGCCCUUGGAGAGGGCCGGGGCAGUGAGGUGGACGUCUCGGACCUCGGCUCCCGCAACUACAGUGCCCGCACGGACUUCUACUG